AUUGAACGCUGGCGGCAGGCUUAACACAUGCAAGUCGAGCGAGCGGCGGACGGGUGAGUAAUGUCUGGGAAACUGCCUGAUGGCGGGGGCUAACUACUGGAAACGGUCGCUACUACCGCAUACCCUCAGAUGUGCCCAGCUGGGAUUAGCUAGUAGGUGGGGUAAGGGCUCACCUAGGGGACGACCCCUCACUGGUCUGAGGGGAUGACCAGCCAAACGGGAAUGGGGAACCGGUCAAGACUCCUACGGGAGGAAGCAGGGGGGAAUUUUGGAAAAGGGGGGAAGUCCUGAGGCAGCCAUGCGCGGGGGGUGAAGAAGGCUUUCGGGUUGUAAAGCACUUUCAGCGAGGAGGCGUUACUCGCAGAAGAAGCACCGGCUAACUCCGUGCCAGCAGCCGCGGUAAUUC
RNAcentral lists this ribosomal RNA (406 nucleotides) under uncultured bacterium. RNAcentral describes it as "partial 16S ribosomal RNA". It matches the Rfam family "Bacterial small subunit ribosomal RNA", at positions 29 to 526 of the family's 1533-position model. The record is from RNAcentral.